RNAcentral lists this transfer RNA (72 nucleotides) under Prevotella sp. Its description in RNAcentral is "tRNA-Arg". It matches the Rfam family "tRNA". From Rfam's summary of the family: Transfer RNA (tRNA) molecules are approximately 80 nucleotides in length. Their secondary structure includes four short double-helical elements and three loops (D, anti-codon, and T loops). RNAcentral also lists the same sequence under 1 other name. Lineage: Bacteria; Pseudomonadati; Bacteroidota; Bacteroidia; Bacteroidales; Prevotellaceae. The record is from RNAcentral.
GCACCCAUAGUUUAAUGGAUAGAAUGAAGGAUUCCGGUUCCUUUGGUUGGGGUUCGAUUCCCCAUGGGUGUA